ACCCACGACAAAUCUUACCACUUCUUGCAUAUUCUAGUUCAGAGUUAAUGUGAAGAUAAUUUUAUUUAUAAAUACUUAUACUAGUAUUAUGAAUGGAUUUUAAAUUCCCUUAACUACACUUGAAUACAGGUGUUGCAUGGCUGUCUUUAGUUCGUGUUGUGAAAUGUUAGGUUCAUUCCGUGAACGAACGUAAUCCUUAUCUUUAAUUACAAUGACAGAAUAAAAUUCAAUUGGAAUUUAUUGGAAUUCCAUUGAAUUCCGAAUGAAUAUUUAAUAAAAUUCAUUCUGGAAGCGUUCAUAUUAACUCAAUUAAAGAAGUAUCUUUUGAUAAGAAAGAAUAAUUAGGCCGAAGACAAGUCCUCAUGACCCUUAUGGAGUGGGCUACAGACGUGCCACAAAGAUUUCUACAAAGGGAAGCAAAGAUGGAAGUCCGAGCAAAUCCUCAAAAGAAAUUAUUAAGUACGGAUAAGAAUCUGGAANNNNNNNNUUUGAAA
RNAcentral lists this ribosomal RNA (494 nucleotides) under Pneumocystis wakefieldiae. RNAcentral describes it as "partial small subunit ribosomal RNA". It matches the Rfam family "Bacterial small subunit ribosomal RNA", at positions 957 to 1325 of the family's 1533-position model. The record is from RNAcentral. Lineage: Eukaryota; Fungi; Ascomycota; Pneumocystomycetes; Pneumocystales; Pneumocystaceae.